GCAUUAGGAAAAUGAAUAAAUUAGAAGUAUGCUCCAGCAAUUUACUCUUCCCAAGCAGCUAUCCUGCACGCUCUGCAGAGGAUGUCAAAACCUGCUGAUAUCUAGCAGAGUCAACUCCAAGUUUGUGUAUCCCGGUCCAUUCUACCUUUCCAUCAGGCAGUACAUGUGGAAAUGGAAAAAUAGCUCUCUAAUUAAUCAAAGUCAGAUCUGCCUGAACGCCUGGAGUUGCUGCUGAUCCUUGUCCCAGCUUCUACCAUGUUCUCUCUCUAUGUUUUUUACCUUGAAAACUUCUGCUCUGAGCUGGGAAUGCCUGAAGGGCUUGCACGGUCACAGGAUUUUGAGCUUCUCCUUCACUGAAAUCACUUCACUGAAAUACCUUGUCACAAAGACAGGAUGGCCACCCUUUUUUCUCACUCUGCUUCCCAGCCCUCCUUGUGGCCUGUAACUGGUCUCUGAAGAAAAUGCCUGAGCUGGGUGUGGAGAUCUACAUGGAAGCUGGCGUUGAAUGAUAGAAGGUGAAUACCUUCUCCUGGCUCAGAGAGGUCACUGCAGAGUGUCAUGGAUGUUCUCCAUCGGGAAAAGGGAAGACAUUUUCACUAAAGAUGCCUAUAUUGCACCUACUUUGUAGAAAAAGAGGGUUUUACUCUAUGAUGCUGCAUUACCACCCCUUCAAUAAAAUUUGAAAAUCUGCAAACUUCCUAAUCUUUGCACAAGCACUUAGCCAUGAGAUUUUUACUGCUACUAAUAGGAGUCUUUCAGCUAAAUCUCUACAUGUCUCUGUAAUUACCUACACAAGAAGUAAUGUUCUGUAAUACCAUUCAAUCUCUAUUUUCAUGUCAUGCCACAGUCUAAUAUUCCUCAGCCCAUGGCAAAUAUGCCUUCAGAAAAUAGCCUGAGAUAGGACAAAAUAAGAUCCAUGUUUAAGUAAGAAGCACUCAGUGAAACAGAAUCCUGUCUACUGACUUGAUACACCAGACCAUAAGGAUAUAAAAAGUGCAGGAAUGGUUUGUGCCAGAUACAGUCUCUAGUUGGAAAAUUUGGUUCUAAAAACCCAUGAGAAAAAGAA
This 1066-nucleotide long non-coding RNA is filed under the name Taeniopygia guttata (zebra finch). Its description in RNAcentral is "lncRNA (ENSTGUG00000027438.1)". The record is from RNAcentral. Lineage: Eukaryota; Metazoa; Chordata; Aves; Passeriformes; Estrildidae.